UACGGGGGGGGGCAAGCGUUGUUCGGAAUUACUGGGCGUAAAGGGUUCGUAGGUGGCUUGUUAAGUCAGACGUGAAAUCCCCCGGCUCAACUGGGGAACUGCAAGGGAAACAGCAGGGCUUGAGUUCGGGAGAGGGAAGCGGAAUUCCGGGUGUAGCGGUGAAAUGCGUAGAUAUCCGGGAGGAACGACCGGUGGCGAAGGCGGCUUCCUGGACCGAUACUAGACGUCGAGGCGCGAAAGCUAGGGGGAGCAAAACGGGG
Molecule: ribosomal RNA, 260 nt
Filed under: uncultured bacterium
Lineage: Bacteria
Description: partial 16S ribosomal RNA
Rfam family: Bacterial small subunit ribosomal RNA
Source: RNAcentral